UGCCAUCAGGAAGCUCGGAAAUAUCGUUCCCAUGAAGAGACCUGAAGAGGAGGAGGAGAAUGUCAAGGACUGGCCAAGAUAUGAGGCUCCGCGGGUCUGGAGAAGCCUGGUGUCGGGUUUCUACGUGUCUGGCUGGCAGGACCAACAAGGGCACAGAGCACGGAGGUGACGCGCCUUCGUGGGAUAACGGCUUGAUGAUUGAUGACUGCCAUAAUCAACCGGGUCAUUCCCACCUCAAAUCCCCAGCUGAG
Cololabis saira (Pacific saury) is the source of this 251-nucleotide long non-coding RNA. RefSeq lists it as uncharacterized. NCBI's taxonomy places the organism in Eukaryota, Metazoa, Chordata, Actinopteri, Beloniformes, Belonidae. The record is from RefSeq and is a predicted model, not a curated record. The transcript is spliced from 3 exons.